CUGACAUCGUAGCAGAACCGUUCUUUCAUCAGAUUGUAGGGGUUUUACACCUGAGCCCGACUUCGUAGGAGCACCAUUGUUGUAUCAGAUUGUAAGUAUUGAAUUUCUUUAUCAUUUUCAAUAAUAACUUUAGUGAUUUGUUAAUUAAUUAGCAACAAAAAUUGCGUUUUCAUGUUUCCAAGGACUAAUUUUUGCUUGUUUUCGGGGUAAUCACCUGAAUGCGGCUGCCCCUUAACAUCAGCGGGGUCCCUAAUGAUGUAGAAUUUAAUUCUUGGUCGUAAAAGGAGUAAACGGUCUAAAAACGUGACUGAAACUGCUAAAAAUUGCAAUUUUUCCAUUUUUAACGAUUUAUUUCAAAUGCGAAUAUCUCGUAAACUAAAAGAGAUAGAAAGGAACGAAUCGCAGAGUCUUAAUCUACGGACUAUUCUCUAUAAAAUAAUACAUAUUUUGUUGCAGUAUUGUAAAGUAUUCUUAGGUGGGCUAGAAUACACGCAUAUGAAUGAAUGUAAACAAGUUUUUUUAUUGCUUUCAGCGUGCGUAUCUCAACAGCGAUAGUGACCUCGUGCAGUUGCUGUCGGCUGUGUGCAACUCAAGGCAUACGCAGUUCCAUUUCGGUUGUCGAGUGAAUCGCGCGUUUUCAUUGCGACUACUUUUUGUUCUUCAAAUCAUAAUUAGAUAAAUUGCGGAAUGUUCAAUUAACAAUUGACGGCAUUUACUGAAAUCGGAUGUGAAUGUGGUUUUGCUAGUGAGAUAGCAUGCGUUGAAUGUUCAUCAAUCGCGGAGUUAUCGGUGGUUCACCUAUGCGCGUGUGAUGUUCCGUCGGCCGUCGGUGAUUGUUUUUCGCUUGUGGAAUUACAUUGCACUCGUGUUAACCUAUGUGUAAAUAACCUGCGUGUCCACACAUACUUAAUAAUAACUUGGAUUUAUGUUUAAUUAAUAUAAAUAAACAACGUUGAUGCCUGUUGAAGAAGUUUAGGAGCACUUGUGCCAAGGAGUCUACCGCUUCCCUCGCAGAAAUGUUAGAGAUGCGCGUAUUACAAGGCAAGUUUUACUUUCAGGAGAUUUAAGAGCUGUCUAUGAUUUUCGAUUUUAAAGAAAUGUAUGUAGCUUUUAAUGUUGCUAAUAAAACAUAAUGUAAUAUUA
Dalotia coriaria is the source of this 1143-nucleotide long non-coding RNA. RefSeq lists it as uncharacterized. NCBI's taxonomy places the organism in Eukaryota, Metazoa, Arthropoda, Insecta, Coleoptera, Staphylinidae. The record is from RefSeq and is a predicted model, not a curated record. The transcript is spliced from 2 exons.